This 243-nucleotide ribosomal RNA is filed under the name uncultured bacterium. RNAcentral describes it as "partial 16S ribosomal RNA". It matches the Rfam family "Bacterial small subunit ribosomal RNA", at positions 91 to 334 of the family's 1533-position model. The record is from RNAcentral.
AUAACCGGCGAACGGGUGCGUAACACGUGAACAACCUGCCCUCGUGUGGGGGAUAGCCAUGCUAACGCGUGGGUAAUACCGCAUACGUUUCUCUGGGGGAGUCCCUGGGGAAGGAAAGCUCCGGCGCACGGGGAGGGGUUCGCGGCCUAUCAGCUAGUUGGCGGGGUAAUGGCCCACCAAGGCGACGACGGGUAGCUGGUCUGAGAGGAUGGCCAGCCACAUUGGGACUGAGAGACGGCCCAG